This 503-nucleotide ribosomal RNA is filed under the name uncultured bacterium. RNAcentral's name for it is "partial 16S ribosomal RNA". It matches the Rfam family "Bacterial small subunit ribosomal RNA", at positions 30 to 523 of the family's 1533-position model. The record is from RNAcentral.
AUUGAACGCUGGCGGCAGGCUUAACACAUGCAAGUCGAGCGGGGUGAUGGUGCUUGCACUAUCACUUAGCGGCGGACGGGUGAGUAAUGCUUAGGAAUCUGCCUAUUAGUGGGGGACAACAUCUCGAAAGGGAUGCUAAUACCGCAAACGUCCUACGGGAGAAAGCAGGGGAUCACUUGUGACCUUGCGCUAAUAGAUGAGCCUAAGUCGGAUUAGCUAGUUGGUGGGGUAAAGGCCUACCAAGGCGACGAUCUGUAGCGGGUCUGAGAGGAUGAUCCGCCACACUGGGACUGAGACACGGCCCAGACUCCUACGGGAGGCAGCAGCGGGGAAUAUUGGACAAUGGGGGGAACCCUGAUCCAGCCAUGCCGCGUGUGUGAAGAAGGCCUUAUGGUUGUAAAGCACUUUAAGCGAGGAGGAGGCUCUUUUGGUUAAUACCCAAGAUGAGUGGACGUUACUCGCAGAAUAAGCACCGGCUAACUCUGUGCCAGCAGCCGCGGUAA